Molecule: long non-coding RNA, 6341 nt
Filed under: Solanum tuberosum (potato)
Lineage: Eukaryota; Viridiplantae; Streptophyta; Magnoliopsida; Solanales; Solanaceae
Description: long non-coding RNA (STUB_LNC010133)
Source: RNAcentral
AUAAAUCGACAACAAAAAUAACCACUAAUCCAUAAUUUCACAGUACCAACAACAUAACAAAAUAAUGUAAACUAUUUGAACCGUAUAACUAGUGUUAUUUUGUCUAAUAAUUAGUGAGUUAGAUAGCUAGCUAUAAUACAAGACAAUAAAGGGUACAUAAAAACUUCUGACACUUGAACAUAUGAUGAAGUCUUCCACAUGUCAAAUAUUUCGACAUCAUAACCUGAAAUAAUAAAAUAAGAUGGAUAUCAACAUUAUUUAUGAUAGGACAUAGUAUUACUACUGCUUUAUAACAUUUGACUACUAACAAUCAGACUCUGCACUUUGUCUAUGCACUUAUUUGUAACAAUAGUCCUAUUUGCAAGAAAUUAAAUUGUAUAGGCACAAUUUCGAGCUGGAGAACAAAAGUAUAGAUCCCAAAAUAUAUGUGCUUCAAAACUUAGAUAUGCAUAAAGAAUAAUUUAAAGAUAUUCAACUUAAAGUAAUUGGUUUGAAUCUAAGCUUUUCAUGAGGUGCAAGCUAGAAAGAAACUUUAAAGAUUAUAGCAUUUAUACAAGCUUUGCCAACGUGUAUUAUAUUUGCGUUCAAUAAUUACCUAUAUACUUUUAUUUGUUUUGUUUUUGGUUAAGCCCGCUAAAUGAAUAAGAGAAAUUACAUGAAGUUCCUCAAAUAAAAAAUGCAUAGAGGAGUACAAAAUCUAUUUUAAAUUAAGACUACAUACUAAAAGUUUACUUGGAGAAAGAAUCAAACAUUUAUAAACUAAUAAAAUCCUCGCUAGCUAAGUUACAAAUUAAGAGAGAGCAUACUAAUAAACAUUUACAGUGAAGAGUUGCAGAAACGGGAAUGGGCUUUUUGAGUGUUUGUACAUACUUGUUAGAUUUGCCAGAGAAGAUUUCAGGGAUUGAGAAUUCGAUUUGUUGUUCCUAUUGUAUAACAUUUUGCUUAGUAAAGUAAGGUGGUAGAGUUUUCUACCGCAUACAACAAAAGAAAGUUGUAAAUGACCAAACUCGUAUAUUAACAUUCCAUGGAGUACGCAAACAAUCAGAAUGCAAAUAUCGAUGAAAUGAAAGACAAAAACUCAUGUCGAACCUGGCUUGUUGGGUGUUUCUUGUUUUGCUUUCUUUGCCAGAGCCAGGAGCUACUUAGGAGAUGGAGCUGGUCUCUUUUUCUUUUCAACCUUCAUCAUAAAACAUCAAUCACAUAAAAGACAAUGCUAAUUAAGAUAAAUGAAAAAAAUGAACAAACAUAAAGAUAAAAAAUUUAGUACUACCUCUUUUUGAUGUCUCUUCUUCUAAAUCUUCAUCUCCAUCCAAAUCAUCAAAAAAAUCCAUUACUUAAGGACCAUAAAAAUCCUAGUAAUCCAAAAUUUAAAAAAACUACCUACACCCGGAAAAAAUAUAAGAUAAAGCAUUUCUCCCUGUAUUAAAAGGUAAAAUCUACAUAAUAAGCAUCACAAAAAACUUUAUGAAUGGCAUAGGCACAUCACUGGAGACAUCAUCACUACCAUCUUCAUUAUCCGAGUCAUCUUCAAAAUCAUCAUCAUCUUUGUUAGAUGUCGGUUCUUUUUUUGGUUCUGCCACCUUCGCAUUUUUCUCAAUAAAUGCAACCUUAGUAAGUGCAGACUUUUUUGAAUCAUGCUUUAUAUCCUUCACAUUAUCCUCAAGUUUUCCAUUUAUGCAUCUAAAACAUUCUCUUCAUGUAAAAAAAUAUCACCUCUAGAAUCAAUUUCAUCAACGCUCAGAUCAUCAAUUGUGCAUACAAUUAAAUACACACUCCCAUUUGUUUUAGUCAUGACUCAUGUAAAAUUUUAAACUCCUUUUCAAGGACCAAGUCAAACAUCAACUAAGGUCUAUCCUCUGCCGGUAGAGUUCCAAUGAUGUAAUUAUUUUCUCCAACAGUUAGGCGUAGAGGAACAUGUUUUACUUCUUUGGCAUACUUCACUUCAUCUAUUGCAGCCUACAAAAUAAAGAUCCCUAAUAGCCAUUUAAGAGUAAAGCCACAUUAUGCUAGCUUGAGAAAGAACACAAAUAUAAUUUAUUUAUUUUUAAAAAAAGAAAGCUAACCUUGUAAAUAUGAAUGAGCUUAUAAAGUUCAGGCUUGAUUUAGAAAUCGUCUUACUUUCACUUCAACACCUACACAUAGCUCAUGUGAAAGAUAUGUCACACUUUAAUAAAUUAUGUUCAUAUGGUGUAAUUUCUGCAUCAUGAAAAUAAUUGACCAAAACCGUUAAGGUAUAGAUUAAAAAAAUAAGCACAUGUGUUAGUGGUUCAAUUUAUGUAUAUACAUAUACAAACCGAUCUAUACCUUUUUCUAGUUAUUUGGUUUUGAUUCUAGUAUGCAAUUUUAACUCCUAUUUUCUCUGCAUCUAGUUGCUAGAAACAUAAAAAAAUUCCUUUAAAUGAUACAAACAUCUGUAGCAGAAAAAUCAUGACGUCUUAAGCCUUCAAGAUUCAAUCCAUGAAGCUUAACUUUUUUUCUCAGAUACAAUAAUAUACUUUGGAACAUCGUUAGAAACCUGGAGAACAAAAUGACUAAGAUCCUAAAAAGAUAUGUGAUCUUAAAUAUAGUUAGUGUGUUGCAGUCGUAUAAUAUAUGUGGAUCUUUUUCAUUCCUUGGUGGUGGUUCAGUGGUAAGAUUCUUUCUUAAUUUUUGAUGUCUUUUAAUUCUUUGAAAGACUCAAUACUCCUCGUAUGAUAAAUUAAGAUAUCAAUAGUUUCAUAUUUUGGUUGUUUUUCCUAAAUGCAAACAUAAUUCAAGAUAGCAAUACAUCUGUAAUUGCUAUACUUUUAAGUUUGUUUGUGAGAUGCACCUCAUUAAAGUUUAGUUUCGAACCACUUACUUUAAGUUGAAUAUAUUAAAAUUAGGUCUUCUACAUUUCUCAGAUUGAAAGCACAUGAACCAAUACGGUAAAUUAAUGAACAACAAUAGCUCCUGUAGUGUGGCCGUAGUCCUGUAUGUGAAGAAUUUAAAUUAUCAUCUAUCAGUUAUACUAAAUUUCCAGAAUAGGUCAUGCCUCAUGAAAAUGACUAAAACGAAAUAGUCAACCACAACAUGACCUGCAAGAAAUGUGGUGUUUUUCACUAGAAAGCAAUACAUAUUCUUUCAAUACGUUAAAACUAAAGUGUAUCUAUUUGAAGAUACAAAGAUUUAGUUGGUUGUGUAUAUACAAGGACAUCAAUUAAGAUUUCAGUCUCAAGUUUAUUCAUUUCCAAAUUUUCUAUAAUGGAUCUAAGAACGGAUUGAAGCUUUUAUCUGUAAGAGUUAUUGGCAUUCCACACAAGUUGAAUUAGAUUAGCCUUAUAUGAAACAAAUGCAUUAAUACUACAAAGUAGAAAUAUAUUCUUUUGCUUUGAUCGCUCAUUUAUUUCCUAUUAGUAUAGUAAAUUUUUAAUCAAACAUGAGUUCAUGAAGGAAUUUUUUUAUCCCUUAUAAACUUAUUAGUGAAUCAAAAGCUACUUAAUCUUUGCAAGAGAGUGAUAAGCAGUAUAACACAAUUAUAGCAUCCAAAUUACAAAUGACAUAAUAAUGCAUGAGGGAUAUCUUAAUAAAAUCAAAUUUCCUAUAACUUCUGGGAUUAUAUUUAUAGGAAAACAAGGAAUUUCACCUCAAAGGGAUAAGGGGCAGAACACAUAGGGUACAACCUCCACUAAUAAUACUGAUAAUUAUCACUAGCGAUAGUAAUAUUUUUGAGAUAGAACAAGAAAUAGUAUUGUUAUACUUUGUGGAUACACUCUACUCCAAGAUUUUCCUGAUCGGGACCUAGACUUUAGGUACUUUUUUAACACAUGAAUUUGUACAUCAGCAAAUCUACACAGGAAAGAAGCACAUACAUGAAGAAAGUAAUCUGAAGAUCUCAUUCAGUAACCUCUAAAAAUUCAUAAGCAUUUUUAUUUCCUAAAAUCUUAUACUCUUAGGAAACAUAAAUUGAUUGGAGUACACACACUAAUUCACCAACCUCUAAAAUUUCAAGAGAAUUUAGAUUUCCUAGCUUCUUACAAUUCCGCAGCAAUAAGACUCAAAGUCCUUCAAAUAUCGAUAGUUGAUGUUUGGAUAAAAGACAACUAGAAGGGACACUCUCCUCUCAUCUUCAAUGUUUCUCUCUUUGGUGAAUUCAACAUACAUAAUCUAAUGUUAUUCCUGUUUGAUCAAAAUAUUCAUCCGAGAACCUACGUUAUUUGGUAAUCAUACAGACAUAUAUUCAUGUGCGCUCUAGUUAUAUACAAACAUGAUUAUUCAAGAAAUCACCAUCCAUGUUUUUACAUAACUUCAAUUAGACUACAGAUCACACAUUAGUCACCUUAUAAUGUAAUAUAUAUUGAUGUUUUCAAGAAAUUAAAACAAAUCUCAAUCACAGAGAGAUCUGAAUGCUAUAGAUUCAGGUAAAAAACAUCAAUUUUUAUUAAUGAUACACAGAGAACUUCUGAACAACCAAAGUAAAGAUAAAAGAAUCGGCGAAACAGAGGAAUCAAAUCAAGUGAUUUUCCAUCAAUUCAACAGCAGUCAGAGAUCAUAUAUUAUGAUUUAACAAACUCAAGAAAUCUAUAAUUUCACAAAUCAUAGAUUGCCAUAGUUAGACAUCACAAAAUGCAAUUUGACAUGGUAUCAAGUAUUUCGGUACUUGAUAAGAAGAAUAUUUUACCAAAAAAGACCAAAAUGUUAAGGAGAAGAAUUAUUAAGGUAACAAUCUGAAACUUACAUGAAUGUAGAAGAUGAAGAUGAUGACAAGGAGAAGAUUUAAACAUCGGUGGUUCAGCAAUAUCGACCUAAAGUCAUGACUCUGACUAUAAAUAGAUGAUGUCUAGUGAUGGGUAAGGCUACCAUAGAAGAUGAUCAGCGUAUAUGGCAGUCAUGGUGCCGCGAGGCGGAGAGCUUUAGAGCAGCAAUGUGGAAUUAGAAUGAGUAGGGUUUUUAGUUAUUUCUUUUUGUUAAUUAUUGGAGGAAACAUCUAAAUUCUAAUAGUGGUGAAAAACUAGGAGGGAAAAAUGACAAAAUUGUUUUCAAUUAGUAAUUUUUACGUGCAAAUUAUUUUUAUUGUCGGUAAAAAAUAAAUUUUAGUGGCCAAUGUUUAUGGGCCAGUAGUAUCUCAAUGUAAAUAAUUAAUUAGUGGCAAUUGACUUAUUAUCAUUAAAUAAUUAUCGCUAAAAGGCGCCUUUUUGUAGUAGUGUGAGGUUCAUAUGCAAGGCAAUACUAGCAAUACUAAUGUGGGAAUUGUGGAAAAGGAGAAAUGCAAGAAGGCAUGGAAAGGAAAUUACUUUUUAUAAGCUAGAGCAAAAAUGUCAGACCAUAAUAACACAGCUUAUAAGAAGUAAAUACCCGUGGAUAACAGUUCCUAAAGGGUGGGACACAAUUGUAGAGGUACUAAGAAGAUACAGGCCAAGAUUGCACUAUCACGCUGUGAGGUGGAUAAAACCGCAACAAGAUAAAUUUAAGUGCAACACGGAUGAAGCUAGCAGAGGUAACCCACCCUGGAGUAAGUUCUUACAGUUUCUGUAUUCGAGAUUACAAUUAAAGCUUGAUAUAUGCUGAAGCAGAUGCUUUAGGGGAUAGAAACACUAUGAAAGCAGAGACGAUAGCAAUUCUACAGGCACUUAGUUAUUGCAAGAGAAACAAUCUUCAAAACAUCAUUGUGGAAACAGAUUCGUUAGGAAUAACAAAAAUGCUUAGACAGGAAUGGAGGAUCCCAUGGGGCCAGGCAGAUGACAUACAAGAGAUAUAAGAGUUACAACAACAUGUUCAGGCACACAUACAACAUGUAUUCAGGGAAGCAAAUAAUCUAGCAAAUGAGGCAUGUGACCUAGAGGGGAAGAUUCAGACGCAAACAUAUCAACAACUAUGUAAAGGAAUUUUAAAUACUGAUAAAGCCCAAAUACCAUCACUGAGGAUUAGAACAAGGAAGAUUACAGUACAUGGGCAACAUCAUGAGUAGAGAAAGGAAUAAUAACAAAGCAGAACACAGAUAUGAUAUGUACAAUCAGUUUUGCCAAUACAAGGCAUACAUAACUGUGCAAAAGACUACGCUACAUAGCAUGAGCUUUCUCAACUUACAAAUUCCACCAGCAAAAGUUGAUGCCUUCAAAUUCAGAUGGUAUCUGGAGCUGAAGAAGAGAGCACGCUUCUUGGAAUCUCCUUCUCUGCCUCAGCUGGAAAUAAGGAGAUUAGAGGUGGAUGAGAGACGGCAAAAAGAGAACAGAGAAGAAGGAACUCACUCACUUGGAAUCUCUUAUACAGGAAGAUGCAGAUUUGGAGAAAGGAAGAGCUGAGGAGAAGCAGAGGCGGAUGAAUCCACAACACAAGCUCAACAGGUGAACAUAUUGAAGAAAGAGCCGGACCAAAUAGGGUUA